Long non-coding RNA from Cyprinus carpio carpio, 585 nucleotides. The record is from Ensembl. NCBI's taxonomy places the organism in Eukaryota, Metazoa, Chordata, Actinopteri, Cypriniformes, Cyprinidae.
AGGUUCAGUCCAGGAUCAAAUGUUUGGAUACCAGUAGGUGCUCCAUGUGAAAGUAAUCUUGAAUGAUGAAUGAAGGUGCUGGCAGGCUCAGUCUUUCAGAGAGUAAAAUGAGGCAUCAACAUUUAAAGGCCUUAAAAUUGGUGGUCCAGCUGCACAGGAAGUUCCCUGAAGGGCCAAGUCUGGAUCUCACCGUUAAGUCUUUGUGCCAUGAUGAUGGUCACAGCCCAACCAAACUGACCUAAAGCAACUAGAGAGGCGCUUCCAAGCCAGGAAGUUUAAUGUCACAGAAGAUCAGUGGUGUCAGAGGACUGGGCAGUGUAUGAAAGCAUUAUGAAAGACCAGACCAGAGCCUCAGGCAGUUCUGCACCACCCAGCUCUAGCUCACAUUUUACAGUUUCCUGAACAUGCCUUGAUCUAUCAAAUGGAUAAUGCCACCUCAAACUCACACCAUUGAGUGAAUCGAUGUUGCUGCGCUGGUUGUGUGGUUUUGAAACCACCGCAACACCACAGUAUUUCAGGAUGUCAACCUAGUAAACUUUGAAUGAUGUCCAUGCAAGGAUACCAAGAUGCUAAAGCUCACAAGGU